Molecule: ribosomal RNA, 594 nt
Filed under: uncultured bacterium
Lineage: Bacteria
Description: bacterial SSU rRNA
Rfam family: Bacterial small subunit ribosomal RNA
Source: RNAcentral
CGCGGCCUAUCAGCUUGUUGGUGGGGUGAUGGCCUACCAAGGCAGUGACGGGUAGCCGGCCUGAGAGGGCGACCGGCCACACUGGGACUGAGACACGGCCCAGACUCCUACGGGAGGCAGCAGUGGGGAAUAUUGCGCAAUGGGCGGAAGCCUGACGCAGCGACGCCGCGUGAGGGAUGACGGUCUUCGGAUUGUAAACCUCUUUCACCCACGACGAAGCGAAAGUGACGGUAGUGGGAGAAGAAGCACCGGCCAACUACGUGCCAGCAGCCGCGGUAAUACGUAGGGUGCAAGCGUUGUCCGGAAUUAUUGGGCGUAAAGAGCUCGUAGGCGGCUUGUCACGUCGACUGUGAAAACCCGGGGCUCAACUCCGGGCCUGCAGUCGAUACGGGCUGGCUUGAGUGCGAUAGGGGAGACUGGAAUUCCUGGUGUAGCGGUGAAAUGCGCAGAUAUCAGGAGGAACACCGGUGGCGAAGGCGGGUCUCUGGGCCGUAACUGACGCUGAGGAGCGAAAGCGUGGGGAGCGAACAGGAUUAGAUACCCUGGUAGUCCACGCCGUAAACGUUGGGCGCUAGGUGUGGGGACCUAUCCACG